Portunus trituberculatus (swimming crab) is the source of this 1002-nucleotide long non-coding RNA. RefSeq lists it as uncharacterized. The record is from RefSeq and is a predicted model, not a curated record. NCBI's taxonomy places the organism in Eukaryota, Metazoa, Arthropoda, Malacostraca, Decapoda, Portunidae. The transcript has 3 exons.
GUAACACUCCGAGUAAUGAUCGACUUUACCUGAGGAAGGGAAGGGUGAAGAUGCUGGCGACCCCCUCCUGCCGCCCUCAUUAGUGUGUUAUAAACUGUGUUCAUCCAAAGAGUAACGAACGAGCGAUCGGCCGAUUACGGGGAAAAAAGCGCGGAAAACUAUUAAAAGAGACACAUAAACCGCCAGGGUGUGGAUGUGCAGAGGCCUUUCCUGGUGGGCGGCUCAGGGAACGGAAGGAGAUAUUGGCAAAGUUUUGAAAAUAGUUAUGAUUUCGCAGCCUGCACAUCACCGCUUCUCUCCCAACACACAGCCUUGCACACACACACACACACACACACACACACACACACACACACACACACACACACACACACACACACACACACACACACACACACACACACACACACACACACACACACACACACACACACAAACACAUAUUCAUCGAGAGCUCCUAUACUGAAUGUGAGUUUUAGGAAGUGAACAAAGGAGUCUGUUUUCACUCCAGAGAGAUGAUUGACCAGUCCACUCGCAGCUGUUGGAAUACCCAUUCCAGGCAGGAGAGAAGGUAAUGUAAGAUAUUGCCAAAAUAUACUUACAUCACAAUGACUUCUUAACGCAAACUCCUAGAUUUUUUCCCUUAUAUCCUUAUUGCCACAGUAUGGUAUUCUUUGUCAUUAUAUUCGUACGUGUACGAACACAAUAAGGAAACAAAAAAAGGCGAGUUAAUCUAUACAGUGCAGCUAAACAGAUGUCAGCUACAUUUUUCAACUUAAAUCUUAUUUUACUUCAGAACGCAUGUUUACAAAAAUCAGUUAUAUAUUCUGCAAUAUGUUUUUUAUUGCUAUUUUAUUUAGUUUUAAUAAAGUACUUGACAUAUCUUCCAGACAGCUACCAGCCCACAUCGACCAAAUAUCCUGUUCUACUCCACCACACACAUAAAAAAAACUUGAAAAGCCUGACUAAAAGAAAUAUUCAUAAUUUAUUUUCACUGCUUCC